This is a long non-coding RNA of Strongylocentrotus purpuratus (purple sea urchin), 3777 nucleotides long. RefSeq lists it as uncharacterized. The transcript has 3 exons. The record is from RefSeq and is a predicted model, not a curated record. Lineage: Eukaryota; Metazoa; Echinodermata; Echinoidea; Camarodonta; Strongylocentrotidae.
CCUGUUGUAGUGCUGUAGGUGAUGAGAGUGAAGAAUGAAUUUACCUGCACAAUGCUCACCACCCCCCCCCCCCUUCAGUCAUGCGGGGACUUAAUUGCUCUCACUAUUAUGUUAAAUGAUAUGCAACUCCCAUACUAUUCACCAAUCCAUUUGAUAUUGUGACAUCAAAAUGCAUGUAUUAUUGUGAUUCAUUAUUUGAAUGUACAUAUAGAUAAUUGAUGUAUAUUUGUAUUGUUACUAUGGAUAUGAGCUCUAAAGCAACAUUUCAAAUUCCUGAUAUAGUCUGUUUGGAGUGAGAAGGGCAUUACCGCUGUAGAAAUUGUAUGAAUGAAUGCUCUUCUUGCUCCAAGCAGAUGAUAUAAUACAUUGCAGCAUUUUCACAAUUCACAUGUCUAAAGAGUUCCAAAAGCACUUUCAGUAAUAUGCCACUUCCAUUACAGUAUUCCUCGUGUCAUUGGGGAAAGAAAAAGAUUUAAAAACUUGACAUUUGCUCCUUUUCAACAGGAGAAGGGAUGGUUAUAGUAGACUGUCAACGAGAGAUCGUGAGGAUGAGUUUGACAUUGUGGCAUUAUCAUCAACUCCUUCACAGACGACACAAGACCUACGACAGCAACUGCUCAAAGACGGCUUCCGGUUAGAUGAGGUCCCUGACGAUGAGGAGCUUGACUUGAUCCCACCACGGCCGAUGGUUGACCGAUGCGCAUGCUGCCAACCCCAAGCUAACUGCACAAUACAAUGACAUGCAUGAAGUCCAUAUUGGACCCUAUCCCAUGACAUGCCCCCUUCUUAUUUAUGAAAACGGAAAUAGAUGUGAAUAUGUAUAUUUCUUCAACUGCAAAAAAGAUCACUAUACUUCACCGGAUCAAGUGGAACCCAAGCGAUGAAGAAAACGGACUUGGCAACAAAAAAAUGGAUGACUGUUGAUCCUAGAAGAAUUGAAUUAUGGUUGUGAAAGAGAUAUUAUUGGUAUAUAUCAUAAGGAUUAUGAAUGUGUAUAUCAAUACUGUUUUCACAUUGAGGAGUGUUGAAAGUCUAUUUUAUGAUGGUGCACAUGUGUAUUUUGAAAUGCAGCAAUCAUUUUUUUUUUAAAUCUGUGUUAUGCCAAUUGUGUGUACUGCAGUUGUUUAUUGCUGUACCGAUGAUAUAUCAUAUUUAUGCCAAAUACAUGUUUCUUUCUCUUUCAAUUUUUUUGUUAUUAUCCCUAUCAACUAGUAAAAAGUAGGAGACAUCUUGUUUUCUUUAUGUUUUCAUGUUCUGUUUUACCAUGAUUUCUCUAUUUUUAUUGUUGAUAUUUCAUCUCUUUCUUAAUGUUUGUAUUACUUGAUCCAUGACUCUAAAUAUUUAUAUUUAUGUUAACAUAAUAAUAAUAUUAAUAAUAAUAAUAACCUAGACUUAUAUAGCGCAUUUCAUCUUCGAAGAAAAUAGCAAUGCGCUUUACAAUAUUAAUACAACAAAAUUACACAUAACAACUAAUUCAUGAACUAAAGAUAUAUAUCAAAAUAAGGAAGAGAAUUCCAUUUAUGCUAGGACAAACAAAGCACUUGUAUGUGAAUGUAAUGCUGUGAGAAAAUGUUGGGUCCAUGAUUCCAGAAAAAUAGAGAUCAUCUUUAAUUGAGUAUCAAUUCACACAUCAAAUGCACAUACCAAGUAACUCUCUUUAAGAUGACACAUGGAAAACAGGAUGUCAAAUUCCCUUUGAUGUACUGCCUACAAGAUCUAUGUUUGACAUUACACUGAACUUCAUUUUUAAAUGUAGCAUAGACUUCCCGCUAACCAUCAUAUUAAGUACAAUGUACAGCAGUAAUUCUCACUCUGUCAGUAGACUGCACCCAAAAAACUUUUUACCUGGAAAACCAAUCCUUGAAUUAUAAACAUUUUGUCUUGCUUCCACUAUGCUUAGAUUGCUUCUGAACACCCAACAUGGAACACUUAAGCACUUGGCCGAUCAGAUUUCAGCCAAACCUUUUAAUGGUGGAGAGUGGUGUAAGCAUAAUUUGAUUUUUACCUCCCGUCCGUCACAUCCGGGGAGCUAUGACUGGAUGGUUUGAUGACCCCUCCAGCAGAAAUACAACAAUUAUCUGGUUUUCGUGUAAGGAAUCGGAGAACAGGAUGUUGAUGAUAUGUCACAUGAACAUGUUCCAUAAACAACAGCCAUGAGCAAGAUGAUUGUCGGACAACUCUAAAACUUGCUCUAAUUACUAAAAGAUACUGGAAAACAAGAUUUCUUCUUUGGAAGGCUAUUAUAAUAGAGGCUACUGUGAAAGGAAGCUUGGUUUCACACCAAUAUUGAUCAUCUUUUCCAUGGGAGAUAACAGUCCUGUCUCAUCAGUCAUCAUGUUCUGUGAAUGACCUCUAAAGAUAUCCAUGGUAGUGCCUUCUGGACUUUUGACACUUUGGAUUUAAUGAGUUACAAACAAGCUAAGCCACAAACAACUACUGGCAGUUGACCCAAGCGGUCAAACUGGAUACUAGUCAUAGUCAUAGUCAUAGUAUGACUAGUCAUAGUCAUACUUUCAAAUCAAAGAUUUGCCUGAUGUUGGUGUUAGUUCUCAAUGGAAGAUCAUGAAGAUCAGAAAACUACUCCGUAAUAUGCUCUGGUGACAAUUAUUUCAGGCUUCAUUUUGUUCAAAAGAUGUAGCGUUGCAGUUGGGUUUUAGGUUAGGAUUAGUGUUAGUAAUUAAUAGAGAGUUGAAGUGAAGAGUUCGGUCAAUGUAGGAUAUAGACCACCAAGAAAUAUGGGUGAAACAUGUGUCAUACAUAAAUAUAAAUUCAGAAAACCCCAGAUAUAUAGGGUUGUUAGGCAUUCCAAUGUUCAAAAAGGAAACCUACCUGUAUAAAAUACAGGCUCAACCAGUAAUUUCUUGUGCAAUAGAUACAGUACUGUUGACCAGUUUUUAUUUUAUUUUUUCUUAUUCAGGUGAUGUAUGCAAUGUCCCUGACAUUUAUAAUUAAAAAGAAAAAGAUCUCACUAUAUAGACUUAUACUUUUUUUCUAUUUAUUUGUAGCAUAAGCAAUUGCUUUCCACUUUUCCAGAACUUUUUGUUUUGACUAUGCUUUGACUUUCUGCAAAGUUACUUUUAAGAGAGGUUAUUCUAAAAGUGGCACCUCUCCAUAUGUUGUUACAUCCCCUAUCAGUGAGACUGUACAUUGAAAUUACAUAUUCCUGAUGUUUGUAGUGGCAUGAGCUAUAAGGGCUAAUUAAUUAUUUACAAAAAUACUUUUUAUAGAUGCACCACAUUAUGCUAACCUGUUGAUUAUUAAGUCGGAAAAGGCAGAACUUGUAGUCUGUGGAAAAUAUUUGUGAUAUCAACAUCAAAUCAUAGCCAAUGGGUCAAAAUCUGUGCUCUAAUCAUUUUAAUUUUGUUUAAAGAGGAGGUCGAUCCUUUGCCAUUAUCAAGAUGGUAAGAAGGCACCCCUACAUGCAUGUCUGCAGAUGUCUUCCUCUUUAUUGAUUCAAAUCGAUGGUAACAUGCCUGUGCCAGCUUUUUACCUGAUGACGACAGAAAAAUGAGAAGACGAGAGAAAAGAGCCAUUACCUUAAAGACGUCCCAGUAUGACAUACCUGUAUGCCUCAAGGCAAUCGGCGCAAAAAAAGAAGCUAAAAGAUGCAGACCAAAAUCCAGGUUUUGAAUGAAACAGAGCUGACUAUCACGAACCUGUCCCCUUGCAGAAUUUCUCCACUUACCAAUUCAUGAAUUGUCUUGAGGAAAGAAAUGUUGAAAUCCAGAGCUACUAAACAAAAUUUAUGUUUGAUUCGGAUCACAGCCCCCCCCCCCC